CAGUCGCCGCGGGAAAACAGAGGGUGCGAGCGUUAAUCGGAAUUACUGGGCGUAAAGCGCGCGUAGGUGGUUUGUUAAGUUGGAUGUGAAAGCCCCGGGCUCAACCUGGGAACUGCAUCCAAAACUGGCAAGCUAGAGUACGGUAGAGGGUGGUGGAAUUUCCUGUGUAGCGGUGAAAUGCGUAGAUAUAGGAAGGAACACCAGUGGCGAAGGCGACCACCUGGACUGAUACUGACACUGAGGUGCGAAAGCGUGGGGAGCAAACAGGAUUAGAUACCCCAGUAGUCCCUGUCUCUUAUAC
RNAcentral lists this ribosomal RNA (301 nucleotides) under uncultured bacterium. Its description in RNAcentral is "partial 16S ribosomal RNA". It matches the Rfam family "Bacterial small subunit ribosomal RNA", at positions 509 to 807 of the family's 1533-position model. The record is from RNAcentral.